AUACGUAGGGGGCGAGCGUUAUCCGGAUUCAUUGGGCGUAAAGCGCGCGUAGGCGGCCUGCUAGGUCGGGACUCAAAUCCGGGGGCUCAACCCCCGCCCGGUCCCGAUACCGACAGGCUUGAGUCUGGUAGGGGAAGGCGGAAUUCCAAGUGUAGCGGUGGAAUGCGCAGAUAUUUGGAAGAACACCGGUGGCGAAGGCGGCCUUCUGGGCCACGACUGACGCUGAGGCGCGAAAGCUAGGGGAGCGAACAGGAUUAGAUACCCGGGUAGUCCUAGCCGUAAACGAUGGACACUAGGUGUGGGGGGAUGUGCCCUCCGUGCCGCAGCCAACGCAUUAAGUGUCCCGCCUGGGGAGUACGGCCGCAAGGCUAAAACUCAAAUGAAUUGACGGGG
This 393-nucleotide ribosomal RNA is filed under the name uncultured bacterium. RNAcentral describes it as "partial 16S ribosomal RNA". It matches the Rfam family "Bacterial small subunit ribosomal RNA", at positions 523 to 918 of the family's 1533-position model. The record is from RNAcentral.